This 70-nucleotide transfer RNA is filed under the name Arctopsyche spinescens. RNAcentral's name for it is "tRNA-Gln". The record is from RNAcentral. Lineage: Eukaryota; Metazoa; Arthropoda; Insecta; Trichoptera; Hydropsychidae.
UAUAUUUAAGUGUUAUGAGCACUAAAGAUUUUGAUUCUUUAAGAUUUAGUUAAUAAACUAUAAGGUAUAA